UACGGGAGGCAGCAGUGGGGAAUAUUGCACAAUGGGCGAAAGCCUGAUGCAGCGACGCCGCGUGAGGGAUGACGGCCUUCGGGUUGUAAACCUCUUUCAGCAGGGAAGAAGCGAAAGUGACGGUACCUGCAGAAGAAGCGCCGGCUAACUACGUGCCAGCAGCCGCGGUAAUACGUAGGGCGCAAGCGUUGUCCGGAAUUAUUGGGCGUAAAGAGCUCGUAGGCGGCUUGUCACGUCGGUUGUGAAAGCCCGGGGCUUAACCCCGGGUCUGCAGUCGAUACGGGCAGGCUAGAGUGUGGUAGGGGAGAUCGGAAUUCCUGGUGUAGCGGUGAAAUGCGCAGAUAUCAGGAGGAACACCGGUGGCGAAGGCGGAUCUCUGGGCCAUUACUGACGCUGAGGAGCGAAAGCGUGGGGAGCGAACAGGAUUAGAUACCCUGGUAGUCCACGCCGUAAACGGUGGGAACUAGGUGUUGGCGACAUUCCACGUCGUCGGUGCCGCAGCUAACGCAUUAAGUUCCCCGCCUGGGGAGUACGGCCGCAAGGCUAAAACUCAAAGGAAUUGACGGGGGCCCGCACAAGCAGCGGAGCAUGUGGCUUAAUUCGACGCAACGCGAAGAACCUUACCAAGGCUUGACAUAUACCGGAAAGCAUCAGAGAUGGUGCCCCCCUUGUGGUCGGUAUACAGGUG
RNAcentral lists this ribosomal RNA (688 nucleotides) under Streptomyces aureus. Its description in RNAcentral is "bacterial SSU rRNA". It matches the Rfam family "Bacterial small subunit ribosomal RNA", at positions 340 to 1040 of the family's 1533-position model. The record is from RNAcentral. Lineage: Bacteria; Bacillati; Actinomycetota; Actinomycetes; Kitasatosporales; Streptomycetaceae.